This 426-nucleotide ribosomal RNA is filed under the name uncultured bacterium. RNAcentral describes it as "bacterial SSU rRNA". It matches the Rfam family "Bacterial small subunit ribosomal RNA", at positions 355 to 775 of the family's 1533-position model. The record is from RNAcentral.
UCGAGAAUUUUUCUCAAUGGGGGAAACCCUGAAGGAGCGACGCCGCGUGGAGGAUGAAGGCCUUCGGGUUGUAAACUCCUGUCAUUUGGGAACAAACCUUCCAUUUAACUAGUGGAAGACUGAUAGUACCAGAAGAGGAAGAGACGGCUAACUCUGUGCCAGCAGCCGCGGUAAUACAGAGGUCUCAACCGUUGUUCGGAUUCAUUGGGCGUAAAGGGUGCGUAGGCGGUCGUGCAAGUCGGAUGUGAAAUCUCAGGGCUCAACCCUGAAACUGCAUUCGAUACUGCGUGGCUAGAGUGCUGGAGAGGAGACUGGAAUUUACGGUGUAGCAGUGAAAUGCGUAGAUAUCGUAAGGAAGACCAGUGGCGAAGGCGAGUCUCUGGACAGCAACUGACGCUGAGGCACGAAGGCCAGGGGAGCAAACGG